Molecule: long non-coding RNA, 1146 nt
Organism: Asparagus officinalis (garden asparagus)
Lineage: Eukaryota; Viridiplantae; Streptophyta; Magnoliopsida; Asparagales; Asparagaceae
Exons: 3
Source: RefSeq, a predicted model, not a curated record
AGGAGGAGGAGUCUUGGAGGGGGAAGAGGGAGACAGGAAUUUUGGGGAUCUGAAUGGGGUCACGAGAGAGAUGGAGCAUUUUUAAUGAAAGCGAUGGAUUUUUUUCAAAAACCACCCUGCGGACGAAUUUUAGGCGGAAUGCGUACGCGUUUGUGCGUACCUGAAAUGCAUAGUCCGGUUCUAGUGCGCACAAAUGCGUACGUGUUUAUGUGCUGCAGGGGGGUUUUUGAAAAAUAUCCACCCAUUUUAGCCUCUCGUGACCACUCUUUCUCGUGACCACUAUUCCCUAGAGAACUCCCCAGACCAUCACCCUCUCUCUCCCCAAACCCUCCUCCCUCUCUCUCUCUCCAAACCCUCACCCCGUCGGAGACCCUCCCUCCUCCCUCUCUUGACACCGUCGUCGGCGCAUUUCCACCGUCGACCUCCUCCUCCGACUCCCCCCCCAACUCCCCAGGCCCUCGCCCAUUUUCUGCGCUGCGGCGAUCACGCCGUCGAGCUCCUCCUCCGUGAUCUAGCCGUUGACCUCCUCCUCCGCCUUCACGCCUCCUCCUCCGCGAUCUCGCCGUCGACCUCCUCAGGUGAAAUCCCCAUCCCGUCCCAGGCCAAAACGAGGUUCCUCUGCCCCCCUUCCUCCUCAGCGAGCCCCAACGCCGGCACGACACCGUCGCCGUGAGAUCCCCUGUCCCAGGACCAGAUCGAGGUCCCUCUGCCCCCCUCCUCCUCCGCUACAGGGUGUUUGUGGUACAAGACUUGUCACGGAUUGGGUUAUUGCAGUGCUUGCUUUGAAAUUCUUAGUGAUGAGAAUAUAAAAGGGAUCUAGACAUGUUUCUUAUGAGCAGAAGGCACAUACAUGUCACCCUGCUAGGAAAAUGGAUGCUUACAACUCUUGGACAACCUUAAAUUCAUGAACUGGAUGCUUGUGUCAUGUCAUCCUAUAUAGGAACCCUGUGAAUCCUCUGAAAGCACUCAGAAUAGUUCCAAGAAGAGGAAGGUUGAUGAGUUUUCAUUUCAUUUCAAAAACAUAAAGACCCGAAACCAACUCCUGCCAUUGAAGAGCCGCGUAUCCUAUGCUGGACCACUUCCAAAGAUGCAGCAGCGAAUCCUGCAAAUGAAGAGCCAUGCUUUUCAGGUCGGGCUACUGAAGCA